Molecule: transfer RNA, 72 nt
Filed under: Fasciola hepatica (liver fluke)
Lineage: Eukaryota; Metazoa; Platyhelminthes; Trematoda; Plagiorchiida; Fasciolidae
Also listed under: 1 other name
Description: tRNA-Glu
Source: RNAcentral
CUCCCGCGCCGGGAGUCGAACCCGGGCCGCCUGGGUGAAAGCCAGGAAUCCUAACCGCUAGACCACGCGGGA